UACGUAGGGUCCGAGCGUUGUCCGGAAUUACUGGGCGUAAAGAGCUCGUAGGCGGUGUGUCGCGUCGGCCGUGAAAACCUGGGGCUCAACUCUGGGCGUGCGGUCGAUACGGGCAUCACUUGAGUUCGGCAGGGGAGACUGGAAUUCCUGGUGUAGCGGUGAAAUGCGCAGAUAUCAGGAGGAACACCGGUGGCGAAGGCGGGUCUCUGGGCCGAUACUGACGCUGAGGAGCGAAAGCAUGGGUAGCGAACAGG
RNAcentral lists this ribosomal RNA (254 nucleotides) under uncultured bacterium. Its description in RNAcentral is "partial 16S ribosomal RNA". It matches the Rfam family "Bacterial small subunit ribosomal RNA", at positions 524 to 776 of the family's 1533-position model. The record is from RNAcentral.